AAAAAAUGGAGCCAUGGCAAGACCUUAGUGGAAAAGUAGUUAUGGUGACCGGUGCGUCAUCUGGAAUCGGGCUAGAGUUCUGUAUCAACUUAGCAAAAGCCGGUUGCAAAAUCAUUGCUGCAGCUCGUCGUGUUGACAGACUGAAAUCUCUCUGUGACCAAAUUAAUAGUAAAUCCAACGGACCUCAACGUGCGAUCGCGGUUGAGCUUGAUGUCUCUGCUGAUAGUACUACCAUUGACUCCGCUGUACAAAUAGCUUGGGAUGCAUUUGGACGUAUUGAUGUCUUGAUUAACAACGCCGGUGUUAGAGGGAGCGUGAGCUCUUCCGUGGAAAUAACAGAGGAGGAAUGGAACAAUACAUAUAACACGAAUCUACGAGGGGCAUGGAUGGUUUCGAAAUAUGUAUGUAAGCGUAUGAUCGAUGCUAAACAGGGCGGAGGAUCUGUUAUUAACAUCACUUCAAUGGCGGGUUUAAAUCGUACAGCAGUACCAGGGACUAUUGCUUACGGUACUUCAAAGAUGGCUCUAGACAUGGUUACUAAGAUAAUGGCGAUUGAAUUGGGUGGAGAGAAUAUCAGAGUGAACUCGAUAUCACCAGGAGUUGUAAAAUCAGAGAUAACAGAGGACCUCGUUAAAAAUAAAUGGUUCCAUAAGUUCCUUUUGAGAACUCUUCCUCUGAAAUAUCUUGGAACUACAGAUCCGGCCUUAACAUCACUCAUUCGAUAUUUAAUGCAUGAUUCUUCUGAAUAUGUAACGGGCAAUGUUUUCAUCGUCGAUGCUGGUGCUACCUUACCAGGUGUUCCUAUUUUCUCAUCGCUCUAGAGCGAUGAACUUAGCUCAACAAGAAAUGGAUAUCUUAGACAAACUCUGUAAUAAUGUUGGUUUUUUAUCGUUCUUGUAAGUUCAAUUCUCUCGAAGCAAUCGAAAAUGUUU
RNAcentral lists this unclassified non-coding RNA (932 nucleotides) under Hevea brasiliensis (rubber tree). The record is from RNAcentral. Lineage: Eukaryota; Viridiplantae; Streptophyta; Magnoliopsida; Malpighiales; Euphorbiaceae.